This 409-nucleotide long non-coding RNA is filed under the name Homo sapiens (human). Its description in RNAcentral is "non-protein coding lnc-B3GNT7-1:6". The record is from RNAcentral. Lineage: Eukaryota; Metazoa; Chordata; Mammalia; Primates; Hominidae.
GACAACCAGGAAGUGCAAGACUCUGACCCAACGCCCAUGCCUGCCAUCCCCAAACAUGGGCUCAAAACCCCCUUCCCAGGGACGGCUGUGUCCACCCCUCAGCAGGAGGAGGAGACCCCACAGCACCGGGUGAGAGGUCCUGCUGGAUGCUAAGCACCGAAACCUCAACCCGGAACAAGACCAGAACAACCUGAGCAACAACAGGACCAGCGAUGGCUCUCCCUGCUGGAGGAUUCUGGAAGUCACCUGGCUGGACCAAGCCCUCUCCGUGUUCUCUGUCAGCCCACUCCCCAGAGCCGCUAGGCCUGAUGUGCACAAGCAGACUAAUAAAGGCUUGAGGACAAAAAGGGUUUUGAGUGAUAAGUGAAAAAAGAAAGGAGAUAGGGCUGGGCCAACAGGCCUUCCCUUG